ACUCAAAUGAAUUGACGGGGGCCCGCACAAGCGGUGGAGCAUGUGGUUUAAUUCGAUGCAACGCGAAGAACCUUACCUACUCUUGACAUCCAGAGAACUUUCCAGAGAUGGAUUGGUGCCUUCGGGAACUCUGAGACAGGUGUUGCAUGGCUGUCGUCAGCUCGUGUUGUGAAAUGUUGGGUUAAGUCCCGCAACGAGCGCAACCCUUAUCCUUUGUUGCCAGCGAUUCGGUCGGGAACUCAAAGGAGACUGCCGGUGAUAAACCGGAGGAAGGUGGGGAUGACGUCAAGUCAUCAUGGCCCUUACGAGUAGGGCUACACACGUGCUACAAUGGCGUAUACAAAGAGAAGCGAACUCGCGAGAGCAAGCGGACCUCAUAAAGUACGUCGUAGUCCGGAUUGGAGUCUGCAACUCGACUCCAUGAAGUCGGAAUCGCUAGUAAUCGUAGAUCAGAAUGCUACGGUGAAUACGUUCCCGGGCCUUGUACACA
This 490-nucleotide ribosomal RNA is filed under the name Serratia sp. J60. RNAcentral describes it as "bacterial SSU rRNA". It matches the Rfam family "Bacterial small subunit ribosomal RNA", at positions 899 to 1389 of the family's 1533-position model. Lineage: Bacteria; Pseudomonadati; Pseudomonadota; Gammaproteobacteria; Enterobacterales; Yersiniaceae. The record is from RNAcentral.